Mauremys mutica (yellowpond turtle) is the source of this 1355-nucleotide long non-coding RNA. RefSeq lists it as uncharacterized. NCBI's taxonomy places the organism in Eukaryota, Metazoa, Chordata, Testudines, Geoemydidae. The record is from RefSeq and is a predicted model, not a curated record. The transcript has 3 exons.
GUGACGACCAUGCCCAAUAAGCAAUGUGAGCAUCUGGUUUCUCCAACUUCUGUGAUGGAGUUGGCACCAGAAGCCCUUUUUCUAGAGCUUUAGAUGACAGUAAAGCCUUGAUUCUAGUCAGGCUUUUGACAGUCCCACAUGACACUCUCAUAAGCAAACUACCAAAGCGGCGUCUAGAUGAAAUGACCAGAAGAAUCAAGCAAUGCUCUCUGGAAACUGGAUCUGCAUUAUCUAGCUCUGGUGGACGGUCUCAGAAGUUUCACAUCCCAGAAACAAAACAACCCGGAAAGCUGAUGGAAAAACUCUAUAGAAAUCUUCACUGGCCUUGUCUACUCUACCACAGAAUACUGCUCACCUGUCUGGUCACACAGCUCGACAUGUCACUUCUGGACUUCCCACCACCAUGCAGAUCACUACAGGCACAGUAAAAACACCACAAUUGUGGCUUUCUGUACCGACACAUCCACACACACCAAAUCUGCUGCAACAUGAGAAUCCUUUGAGUCCCAUCGGAUUUGAGGGAACAACGAUCUUCCAAUACAUGAAGCCCUAAAUAACAUACCAAGAUUCUGACUGAAAUCUAGAAAACUCUUGUUCCUUUGCAGUGCAAGAGCUCGAAGACUCAGGGUUCUUCCCCAAUCAUCAAGAUGAAAGGUCGCUAAUGUCCCAAACAAACACCUCAUUAAGGACCCAACUAAAGAAUCCUGUGGCUUCUCAGUCCCAUGGAAACUACCAUCCACUUUGAACUGCAUCUGUGUAUCACAGGGCAGAUGCACCUAGCUCCUCCAUAAAUGGGGACAGACAAUGCUAUUUGUGACUGGAGAAACGAACUUCAAACUAUAGAACAUUUGGUCAAGUACUGUCGUAAAAUGAUUGUAUCUUGAUAUGCUCCACCCAAUUUGGGUCACCUGACACUAGUUGGAUUGCCAGCCUAGACUUUGACAUCAAACAGUGCUGUUUUUAAGCCAUAGAAAAGAACUAAUCUCUUUCCCGUUUUCCCUUUUUAAAAAUCAGACUAGUUUUUGUACUCUAUGAGCCCUGAAACAUGGCCAAUAUGCACCAAGCUCAUAUACAUGAACUCCACACCUUGAAAGGGGGAAAGGGGUAGGACUGUUUGUGAUUUUAAAGUAACUCACUCAUGGGCUGAAGUCUUGAAAGCUAAAUUUCUGCCAGGAAUAAGUUGUUUUGACUCCUUUAUACAUCCCUCAAUUACAUGCCUUUAAAGUAAAACCCAAUACAAGCUGAACUAGACUAGAGCAUCAACACAAUGCUGUGAUUUGAGUGCAGAGGUAUAUCUCUAUCCCGAUAUAAUGCGAUCCUCGGGAGCCAAAAAAUCUCACCGCCUUAUAGGCGAG